GAUGAACGCUGCAGAAUGCUUACACAUGCAAGUCUCUUGAACUUCGGUUUGGGUGCGUACGGUGAGUAACGCGUAAAGAACUUGCCUCACAGUUAGGGCAACAUUUGGAAACGAAUGCUAAUACCUGAUAUUAUGAUUUUAGGGCAUCCUAAGAUUAUGAAGUUAUAUACGCUGUGAGAGAGCUUGCGUCCCAUUAGCUAGUUGGAGAGGUAACGGCUCACCAAGGCGAUGAUGGGUAGCCGGCCUGAGAGGGUGAACGGCCACAAGGGGCUGAGACACGGCCCUUACUCCUACGGGAGGCAGCAGUGGGGAAUAUUGGCAAUGGACCAAAAGUCUGAUCCAGCAAUUCUGUGUGCACGAUGACGUUUUUCGGAAUGUAAAGUGCUUUCAGUUGGGAAGAAAAAAAUGACGGUACC
This 416-nucleotide ribosomal RNA is filed under the name Fusobacterium periodonticum. RNAcentral's name for it is "bacterial SSU rRNA". It matches the Rfam family "Bacterial small subunit ribosomal RNA", at positions 28 to 479 of the family's 1533-position model. The record is from RNAcentral. Lineage: Bacteria; Fusobacteriati; Fusobacteriota; Fusobacteriia; Fusobacteriales; Fusobacteriaceae.